This 229-nucleotide ribosomal RNA is filed under the name uncultured bacterium. Its description in RNAcentral is "partial 16S ribosomal RNA". It matches the Rfam family "Bacterial small subunit ribosomal RNA", at positions 568 to 796 of the family's 1533-position model. The record is from RNAcentral.
AGCGCAGGUGGUUUGGUAAGUCUAAAGUGAAAGCCCGGGGCUUAACCUCGGAAGUGCUUAGGAUACUGCCAGACUAGAGUUCGUGAUAGGAAAGCGGAAUUCCAGGUGUAGCGGUGAAAUGCGUAGAUAUCUGGAGGAACACCGGUGGCGAAGGCGGCUUUCUGGCGCGAUACUGACACUGAGGCUCGAAAGCAUGGGGAGCGAACAGGAUUAGAUACCCUGGUAGUCC